RNAcentral lists this long non-coding RNA (3972 nucleotides) under Portunus trituberculatus (swimming crab). Its description in RNAcentral is "uncharacterized LOC123517473, transcript variant X2". The stretch from base 3349 to 3433 matches the Rfam family "mir-46/mir-47/mir-281 microRNA precursor family". The record is from RNAcentral. Lineage: Eukaryota; Metazoa; Arthropoda; Malacostraca; Decapoda; Portunidae.
AGUGUAAAAAUCGUAUAUUUUGGUUGGGAGUCACUACGCUUGUUGCGGGGCCCCCUAGUGAUGUGUGACGCUCGGUAUGGGGCCGGGCUGGGGCAGGUGACCACCCCGCACUCGAGUCAGCGCCCACACCAACCUCAGCCCCCGCCCUGUGCCCACGCCCUUCUCCUGCCGCGCUAUCUCACCUGGGGCGUGUAUUCCACCUGCUAACCUGACGCCUGAAGCGAACGGCCUCAACAAAUCCCAGGGAGCAAGUAUCGGUGUAUUGAAGACCAAAGAGAUGCUCUGUGGACCUUCCUACACAAACCAGGGCUGAGGCCUGGUCGCGGUGGGCUGGCGGGCUGGUAGCGGCGGUACUUUGCCUCGCUGGUGAGUAAUGGCCAGAAUCCGACAAUCCGGAAGACCCACCACCCUGAGCCCGUUCCUCGUCUCCGUCCCCGCGCCACUCCAGCCCUCGAUCCUUGCCCUGGGCUCUUCUCCUCCUCACCGAUCCUGCCCCCAGCACGUACUGGCACCCCGCUGGCCAACAUUUAUGUUCUACGGCCGGUGAAGUGCGCGAAAUAAUGCAGUAAUUUGCAUCACUUUGGUCCGCGUCAAGACUUUCCUCUCCUUGCCAUCAUUUGACUGUCAAAGCAGUUUAUAAUCAUAAUUAAUUUCCCUUUCGUACAUUUAAAUUCUUUCCUCUCACCGCUUCACCAGUAAAACACCACAAGUACAUGCAAUAUUUACAACACGAGAUGGCUCAGCACUUUCCUAUCCUAGUGAUACAGAAGACCGUUUCCAUCCUUGGCAGAGGCCGCGACCUGGACAACCCAUCCGCGCCCUUCCCGGUGUGGCUGUUACCUAGGCGCUGGUCUGGAGAGGUUGCAAGGAGAUUAAGAAUGAAUGGUGAGGUUGAGGAGCUGUAAGUACGUGGCGGUUAGAUUACACAGACAAGUCAAUGUUGUAUAAAGAGACUAGGGCUAUAGAGAUACUGCCAGGGUUGUAUGGGGAGAUAAGGACAGCGCUAGGGAUAGGUCUAUGAGGCGAGGCGAGGCAAGGAGGAUAACAAACGUAGGAAAGGAAGCAAGGGUAGCACAGGAUGACCACAGAUGGUGAUGGUGAAAAGUGGUGCUAAGUGGGGUACGUAGUGAUUAUAAUUAUGUGAAAAGGAUAGUUAGGAAUGCACUUGGCAGGUAGGGGUGAUCAUAUAACUGAAGGCGGCAUGGGAGUCACGCAACUACUGACAUCCUAAUCCAUGCGAGUAACAGGCACCUCAGAGUGGCUAAACACCGGCCAUUUCCCCCGUCAAGAGUAGUGUUAGGGACCAUCUUAUCGGGCGGGACCAGACGGUGAUGGCUAGCGACGACAGCCUUUAUCACGAGCCUCGUACAUCACUGCGACCUCCUCCCCGGUGCCCUCGCCCGCACGCACCCGUCCUCCAGAGGCCUCACGCUUAUAGCUACACUGACCGCAAGCAAUUUAUGUCGUCGGUAAUAGGUAGUGCGUGUAUUUUGAGCCGUUUUAUUUAGGCAGUGUCAAAGGUGUUGGAUGGCGACAGGGAGGCAAGAGUCGGCAGGGUAGGCGAGGAAGUAGCGGGCGGCAGGGUGGCGGCGGCGGGCGGCGGGAUAAUCAGACCAUUUGUAUGAGGCGCGUGGUGCGGGGUCAGACCAACCCGCCAUUAUUCAGCCAACAAUGAUAGCCUGCCUUAAGGGGGGAGCGAGGGGGACUGGGAACUCCUGUUCUUAUCCUACCCUCGCCUGCCCCUCCCCUGCCAUACCUCCCAUACAAGCAGAAAAUUGCAUAAAUAUUUCCCUGAGGAGUGAAAGAUAUUCUUCCUGAAGAUAAUGUUAGCAUCGAAAGAAUUAAAUUUACAGCGAGAGGACGCCGACGUGAAAGAUAUUUAUCCCAUACAAACUGCAAGGAAAUAAAAAAAAAAAAAAAUCAGCGAGCAUAUACAUGUAUCUGCGUGUUAUAUAUCUGAAGGCACCUUAUUCUCAUCACGAAGGCAAGAGUGUUGUGCUAAGGUCUCGAGAGAUGUCAGAUAAGGAAGAAAUGCAAAGAGCAAUGUCUUAGUACUCAUGAAAUCUAUACUAAUGUUAUAACUGAGGAGGUAAAUAUCCAUGUAUCAAUGUUGUCUGCCAUCCAUUAUCGUGUAUACUCUAACAUGUUUUCUAAGUGGCACAAUACAGUACGAACGAAUGAUUUUAUCUAGUUAGCUAUUUGUUGAUUUGUUCACUAACUUUCCAUGCUAAUGAAAAGAAAGAUAUCUUAAUAACACAUGAACAUUAUUGCCAGCUGCUCAGCAACGAGGGAUCGUAAAUCUUGACAACAGUGACGACGAUAAAUAACUGCAGUCACGACUCAAUAACUCAUUACGAUGACCUCACUCGUCAGCCAUUAGUCCCUCGGCUGCAGUGGUUCCUCCCAAGCCCAAUGAAAUAAUCUAGUUUGAGUCUAUACUUUGAAAGACAUCACUGACAGGAAAGGAGAAUAAUCGAAUGAUUUGCACCUUUUAGAGAUUAUUAUAUACUUAUUCAAGUACCUUGUGAUUGUUCAUAAUGAUGUAACAGGUGUCACAAAUUCAUUAACAGCCAGAGAGAUUAACACAAAAAUACUGCGACUGCAUGCACCUCCAUAAACCAUAACAUACCACUUUACCGAAGUCACUAAUACGUAUUCAAACUAAUGAGAAUUCUCUAGUAUUUACCAGCCCUCUCUAAACCCACGAGGCCCCAGCAGCACCCACGAGGACCCGCCGCAAUCCGACCCGCAUCGUGCAUCACUACGGGCGUCGCCACAGAGCGGGCGGGCGGUAAUUUGUGGCAUCAAUAACAGGUAUUAUCCAAGGCGACUGGUCCACGCUGCCCUACUGAACCCAUUACCCCAUUAUCACAAUUCCUUUUUUAGAUCAAUUAGCAGCUCGUAAGGCGUAGUGACGGAACAAUGAGGCUAUCCAGUCAAUGGCCGACUAGUGUGGGUGAGUGUGGUCCAAUAGAAUAACGUGCACAAAUCUGGUGUUACUAGCAUCCAGCGUGCAUGGGACAGAUCUGACAUCCUUUCAAUAACUCAAAAUGUUGCCUGUAGCUAUCUUUUAUCAUGAUGAUGUAUGUAAGAAAAAUAUUAUCCUUAUUUCAGAAGUAACAGUGCAUGAAAAUAGCUGGACCAAUAUUUUCUUCUUUUGUAAAAGAAAAAAAAAAUCAGGAAUACAAUGCCAUGAAAGAAGAGGCGGCGGCAUGACAUACAACGCUGCUCUUAAUUCUCUCUCUCUCUCUCUCUCUCUCUCUCUCUCUCUCUCUCUGGACCGGAAGAAGACUUCUAAGCCACAUUUGAAGCCCGCUGUCAAGGAAAGUUUUGGAGUCAGUUAGGGUAAAGUCUGCACUAUCAAGAGAGCUAUCCGUCGACAGUACUGGAGCCAAACAACUGUCAUGGAGUUGCUCUCUUUAUGGACAGGCUAAUAUGCACCGGAACAUCGAGAGAAUAUCCCCACAUCUACAAAAACUCGCAUACUUUGAAGACAUUUUAUAUAUCAUAUUUAAGAUUUGUUGUAUCACUUUAAUAUAAGUAAAUGUGAUAGUAUAUAUAUAUAUUGGUAUUUUAGUAGAAUAAUGCUAUACUAUAUAGAUAUGUGACGUGCAAAUGUCAUUUUCGAAAUAAUAAAAAUAUUUUGUUCGGAUUGUUUGCGUGAAAACACACCAAUAAAAGAUACUAAGAGCAAACAAUAAAAUUAAGGUUGUGUUUGCAUGUACUGAAAACAUGAUCAACACACUGUCAAAUGUUACAAUCUAAUUGAAAGGUAAUAUAAUCAUUUGUUGGUGAAAGUCUGUUGGCGGAAUACCUAUAAAAGCAGUUCAAAACUCCAAACCCACUUGAACGUUUUCAUUCUUCUUCUCAUUACCUUAAUGUGUAACCAGCGUUUCUUCUCGGCAACGUAUGGCUGGCUUCCCCAGAAUCAACUUAAUGUCCUAAGUUAAUAAAGUAAUACAUUAAUAUUAA